GCCUCUAGUUCCCCCAUUUUGUUAUAUAGGCUCCUUACAUUAGUAAGCAUACAUUUAAUAUUACCAUGAGUCAUUUGUACUUUUUGUGAAAUAUCAAUAUUACAUACCUCCUCUGUUCUGAGCUUUCCCCUCCCCCCAUCUCCACCCCCUUUGUUCUGAGCUAAGCCCAUCUCAUUUCUAUCCUAUCUCCAUUUUCUAUAUUGCUUUGACCCUCCCUCCCUACUACUAGUUUAAAAUCCAACCUUCUAGCCAUCCUAUCCCCCAGCACAGCAAACCUCUUCCGUUUAGGUGCAAUCCAU
This is a non-coding RNA of Pelobates cultripes (western spadefoot toad), 299 nucleotides long. Lineage: Eukaryota; Metazoa; Chordata; Amphibia; Anura; Pelobatidae. The record is from the annotation of a GenBank genome assembly.